Molecule: transfer RNA, 66 nt
Filed under: Ixodes barkeri
Lineage: Eukaryota; Metazoa; Arthropoda; Arachnida; Ixodida; Ixodidae
Description: tRNA-Ala
Source: RNAcentral
AGAAAAGUAUUUAAAAAAAUAAAAUCUAAUUUGCAUUUAGAAAUUGAUAUUCUCUAUCCUUUUCUA